CCUACGGGUGGCUGCAGUGAGGAAUAUUGGUCAAUGGGCGGAAGCCUGAACCAGCCAAGUAGCGUGCGGGAUGAAGGCCCUACGGGUCGUAAACCGCUUUUGCACGGGGAUAACACCCUCCACUUGUGGAGGUCUGCAGGUACCGUGCGAAUAAGGGCCGGCUAAUUUCGUGCCAGCCGCCGCGGUAAUACGUAGGUGGCAAGCGUUAUCCGGAUUUAUUGGGUGUAAAGGGCGGGUAGGCGGGAAAGCAAGUCAGAUGUGAAAACUCAGGGCUCAACCCUGAGCCUGCAUUUGAAACUGUUUUUCUUGAGUGCUGGAGAGGCAAGCGGAAUUCCGGGUGUAGCGGUGAAAUGCGUAGAUAUACGGAGGAACACCAGUGGCGAAGGCGGAUUGCUGGACAGUAACUGACGCUGAGGCGCGAAAGCGUGGGGAGCAAACAGGAUUAGAUACCCCGGUAGUC
Molecule: ribosomal RNA, 460 nt
Filed under: uncultured bacterium
Lineage: Bacteria
Description: partial 16S ribosomal RNA
Rfam family: Bacterial small subunit ribosomal RNA
Source: RNAcentral